GAACCUGAGAGUUUGAUCCUGGCUCAGAACGAACGCUGGCGGCAUGCCUAACACAUGCAAGUCGAACGAAGGCUUCGGCCUUAGUGGC
Molecule: ribosomal RNA, 88 nt
Filed under: Azospirillum sp. BE72
Lineage: Bacteria; Pseudomonadati; Pseudomonadota; Alphaproteobacteria; Rhodospirillales; Azospirillaceae
Description: partial 16S ribosomal RNA
Rfam family: Bacterial small subunit ribosomal RNA
Source: RNAcentral